This 301-nucleotide ribosomal RNA is filed under the name uncultured bacterium. RNAcentral's name for it is "partial 16S ribosomal RNA". It matches the Rfam family "Bacterial small subunit ribosomal RNA", at positions 509 to 808 of the family's 1533-position model. The record is from RNAcentral.
CAGCCGCCGCGGUAAUACAGAGGGUGCGAGCGUUAAUCGGAUUUACUGGGCGUAAAGCGUGCGUAGGCGGCUUUUUAAGUCGGAUGUGAAAUCCCUGAGCUUAACUUAGGAAUUGCAUUCGAUACUGGGAAGCUAGAGUAUGGGAGAGGAUGGUAGAAUUCCAGGUGUAGCGGUGAAAUGCGUAGAGAUCUGGAGGAAUACCGAUGGCGAAGGCAGCCAUCUGGCCUAAUACUGACGCUGAGGUACGAAAGCAUGGGGAGCAAACAGGAUUAGAUACCCGUGUAGUCCCUGUCUCUUUACA